Molecule: long non-coding RNA, 773 nt
Filed under: Cyanistes caeruleus (blue tit)
Lineage: Eukaryota; Metazoa; Chordata; Aves; Passeriformes; Paridae
Description: lncRNA (ENSCCEG00000008857.1)
Source: RNAcentral
AUGGGAAUAAUUCCCAAUAGGAACAAUCCCGAAUUCCCAAUGGGAACAAUCCUGAAUUCCCAAUGGGAACAAUCCCAAUGGGAAAAAUUCCCAACGCGAAUUCCCAACGGGAACGAUUCCCAGCGGGAAUUCCGGCCUGGAAAUUCCAGCCAGGAACUCCAGCCCAAGAAUUCCAGACGAGAAUUCCAGCCCUUCCCAGGGAAUUUUCCAGCCCUUCCCGGGGAUUUUCCAGCCUUUCCCAAGGAUUUUCCAGCCUUUCCCAGCGAAUUUUUGGGCUCAUCCCAAGGGAUUUUCCAGCCUUUCCCGGGGAUUUUGUCCCCCAAGGAUUUUCCAGCCCUUCCCGGGAAUUUUCCAGCCUUUCCCAGGAAUUUUCCGGCCCUUCCCAGGAAUUUUCCAGCCCUUCCCAAGAAUUUUCCGGCCCUUCCCGGGGAUUUUCCAGCCCUUCCCAGGGAAUUUUUGGGCUCAUCCCAAGGAUUUUUGCUCCCCCAGGAAUUUUCCAGCUCAUUCCCAGGAAUUUUCCAGCCCUUCCCAGGAAUUUUCCAGCCCUUCCCAGGAAUUUUCCGGCCCUUCCCGGGAAUUUUCCAGCCCUUCCCGGGAAUUUUCCGGCCCUUCCCAGGAAUUUUCCGGCCCUUCCCGGGAAUUUUCCAGCCCUUCCCGGGGAUUUUUGGGCUCAUCCCAAGGAUUUUUGCUCCCCCAGGAAUUUUCCAGCUCAUUCCCAGGAAUUUUCCAGCCCUUCCCAGGAAUUUUCCAGCCCUUCCCAGGAAUUUUCCGGC